This 344-nucleotide ribosomal RNA is filed under the name uncultured Lactobacillus sp. RNAcentral's name for it is "bacterial SSU rRNA". It matches the Rfam family "Bacterial small subunit ribosomal RNA", at positions 195 to 525 of the family's 1533-position model. Lineage: Bacteria; Bacillati; Bacillota; Bacilli; Lactobacillales; Lactobacillaceae. The record is from RNAcentral.
GUUUUAAAAAAGGCGGCGUAAGCUGUCGCUAAAGGAUGGACCUGCGAUGCAUUAGCUAGUUGGUAAGGUAACGGCUUACCAAGGCGAUGAUGCAUAGCCGAGUUGAGAGACUGAUCGGCCACAUUGGGACUGAGACACGGCCCAAACUCCUACGGGAGGCAGCAGUAGGGAAUUUUCCACAAUGGACGCAAGUCUGAUGGAGCAACGCCGCGUGAGUGAAGAAGGUUUUCGGAUCGUAAAGCUCUGUUGUUGGUGAAGAAGGAUAGAGGUAGUAACUGGCCUUUAUUUGACGGUAAUCAACCAGAAAGUCACGGGCUAACUACGUGCCAGCAGCCGUGGUAAAU